UACGUAGGACCAAGCGUUGUCCGGAAUCAUUGGGCGUAAAGAGCGUGUAGGCGGCUUGUUAAGUCUUGCGUGAAAUCUCGGGGCUCAACCCCGAGCGGUCGUGAGAAACUGGCAGGCUAGAGUGCGGGAGAGGAGAGUGGAAUUCCUGGUGUAGCGGUGAAAUGCGCAGAUAUCAGGAAGAACACCCGUGGCGAAGGCGGCUCUCUGGAACGCAACUGACGCUGAGACGCGAAAGCGUGGGAGCAAACAGG
Molecule: ribosomal RNA, 251 nt
Filed under: uncultured bacterium
Lineage: Bacteria
Description: partial 16S ribosomal RNA
Rfam family: Bacterial small subunit ribosomal RNA
Source: RNAcentral